RNAcentral lists this ribosomal RNA (486 nucleotides) under uncultured bacterium. RNAcentral's name for it is "partial 16S ribosomal RNA". It matches the Rfam family "Bacterial small subunit ribosomal RNA", at positions 30 to 507 of the family's 1533-position model. The record is from RNAcentral.
AUUGAACGCUGGCGGCAUGCCUUACACAUGCAAGUCGAACGGCAGCACGGGUGCUUGCCCCUGGUGGCGAGUGGCGAACGGGUGAGUAAUACAUCGGAACAUGUCCUGUAGUGGGGGAUAGCCCGGCGAAAGCCGGAUUAAUACCGCAUACGAUCUACGGAUGAAAGCGGGGGACCUUCGGGCCUCGCGCUAUAGGGUUGGCCGAUGGCUGAUUAGCUAGAUGGUGGGGUAAAGGCCUACCAAGGCGACGAUCAGUAGCUGGUCUGAGAGGACGACCAGCCACACUGGGACUGAGACACGGCCCAGACUCCUACGGGAGGCAGCAGUGGGGAAUUUUGGACAAUGGGCGAAAGCCUGAUCCAGCAAUGCCGCGUGUGUGAAGAAGGCCUUCGGGUUGUAAAGCACUUUUGUCCGGAAAGAAAUCCUUGGCCCUAAUACGGUCGGGGGAUGACGGUACCGGAAGAAUAAGCACCGGCUAACUACGUG